Molecule: ribosomal RNA, 771 nt
Filed under: uncultured Neocallimastigales
Lineage: Eukaryota; Fungi; Neocallimastigomycota; Neocallimastigomycetes; Neocallimastigales
Description: partial large subunit ribosomal RNA
Rfam family: Eukaryotic large subunit ribosomal RNA
Source: RNAcentral
CGCAUCUGUGCAUGCAGCAUAUCAAUAAGCGGAGGAAAAGAAACUAACAAGGAUUCCCUCAGUAACGGCGAGUGAAGCGGGAAGAGCUCAAAUUUGAAAUCUUGAAAGGUCACCUUUCACGAAUUGUAGUUUAAAGAAGUGUUUUCUGUUACGAUCGUAAUAUAAGUUCUUUGGAAUAGGACAUCACAGAGGGUGAGAAUCCCGUCUAUGAUUGCGAUUUGUAGCUUUGUGAUACACUUUCAAAGAGUCGGGUUGUUUGGGAAUGCAGCCCAAAACGGGAGGUAAAUUUCUUCUAAGGCUAAAUAUUGGCGAGAGACCGAUAGCGAACAAGUACCGUGAGGGAAAGAUGAAAAGAACUUUGAAAAGAGAGUUAAAUAGUACGUGAAAUUGUCAAAAGGGAAGCGUUUAACACCAGUGUUGUUUUCUGAAAAUCAACCUCUGUUAGCUUUAUGCAUGUUUGUUUAGACCUAAUCAGCUAUCUUGCAUGUUCUAUUGUUUGCAGUGGUGCACUUUUCAGUUUACAGGUCAACAUCAGUUUUUUUUACCGUAAAAAAGUUAAAGAAAGGUAGCUCAUGGCUCCGGUCGUGAGUGUUAUAGUCUUUUUCCUAUGCGGUAGGAGAGACUGAGGUCUGCAGUGUAGGCUAUUUGGCUAGAUACUCAGGUGCUAUGUGAUACCAUUUCAUAAACAGCUUGUUGAUUAUGUUUUGUCUAUUGCAUACUCGCUUGUACUAUCAUACCUACGCUUAGGAUGUUGACGAUCAGCUGAGCGCG